AGGAUGAACGCUGGCGGCGUGCUUAACACAUGCAAGUCGAACGAAGCACCUUAAUUGAUUUCUUCGGAAUGAAGUUAUGUGACUGAGUGGCGGACGGGUGAGUAACGCGUGGGUAACCUGCCUCACACAGGGGGAUAACAGUUGGAAACGGCUGCUAAUACCGCAUAAGCGCACGGUAUCGCAUGAUACAGUGUGAAAAACUCCGGUGGUAUAAGAUGGACCCGCGUCUGAUUAGCUAGUUGGUGAGGUAACGGCCCACCAAGGCGACGAUCAGUAGCCGGCCUGAGAGGGUGAACGGCCACAUUGGGACUGAGACACGGCCCAAACUCCUACGGGAGGCAGCAGUGGGGAAUAUUGCACAAUGGGGGAAACCCUGAUGCAGCGACGCCGCGUGAGUGAUGAAGUAUUUCGGUAUGUAAAACUCUAUCAGCAGGGAAGAUAAUGACGGUACCUGACUAAGAAGCACCGGCUAAAUACGUG
This 480-nucleotide ribosomal RNA is filed under the name uncultured bacterium. RNAcentral describes it as "bacterial SSU rRNA". It matches the Rfam family "Bacterial small subunit ribosomal RNA", at positions 26 to 507 of the family's 1533-position model. The record is from RNAcentral.